Molecule: microRNA precursor, 208 nt
Organism: Oryza sativa Japonica Group (Japanese rice)
Lineage: Eukaryota; Viridiplantae; Streptophyta; Magnoliopsida; Poales; Poaceae
Rfam family: MIR812 microRNA precursor family
Source: Rfam
AAAAAGUGCAGUUUUGCACUAUUAACGUUCAACGUUUGACCAUUCAUUUUAUUUAAAAAAUUUUUAUAUCUAGUAUUUUUAUUACUAUUAGAUGAUAAAACAUGAACAGUAGUUUAUGUGUGACUAAAUACUUUUAAUUUUUUUACAAAUUUUUUAAAUAAAACGGACGGUUAAACGUUGGGUACGGAUAUCUACGGCUGCACUUAUU